RNAcentral lists this long non-coding RNA (2438 nucleotides) under Nicotiana benthamiana. Its description in RNAcentral is "long non-coding RNA (NBEN_LNC038755)". The record is from RNAcentral. Lineage: Eukaryota; Viridiplantae; Streptophyta; Magnoliopsida; Solanales; Solanaceae.
AAUUCGACAUUGUUUGAGGUGUUUUGAAGGUUGGUAUAAGUUUGAAUAGUAGUAUAUGACUUAUUUGUACUUUUGGUUGAGGUCUCGAGGGCCGGGGGUGAUUUCGUAUGGUUGACGGGAAGAUUUGAGUUGGGUUUUGGCAGCUAAAGAUUUUCCCAUUAUUGUCAUAACCGCACUUGCGGUUAGGGGACCGCAUGUGGUCUCAUAGAAGCGAAACUGGAGUCACAGAUGCAGCCAAGGAGAGUAUCAGCUGGAACUGCAGAAGAGGUUGAGGAAGCGCACAUGUGAUAGUGCAGGUGCGGGAUUUGCAUUGCAAAUACAACUCUUGGGUUUUAAGUGAUGACUGCAGAUGUGGUGUCUUGGACCGUAAAAGCGGCAGUGGGACCGCAGGUGCGAUACUCCUAGGUCAGAAGGUAUAAAAACUUUCCUUCGCGAUUUUGAGUUAUUCUUCACCAUUUUCAUACAGGUUUGAGCUUGAGGGAGCUAUUUAAAGAGGGAUUUCAUAGAGGUAAGGUUUUUGGACCCUAAAAUCGUUUCUUUGGUGUUAUUUCACUGAUUUGACUUGAACGUUUAAUGGAAAUUAAGGGUUAAAAUUGGGAAACUAGGGCUUGAUGUUGGAGAUCAUUGAGCAAGGGUUUGAGGGGUCAUUUGUGGUCAGAUUUUGGUACUUUUGAUGUGUAUGAACUUGUGGGGAGAUAAGGAGUCUAUUGAUGUAAAUUUUAUCGAACUUCGAGAUGUGGGCUCGGGGGUUGGGCUUGGUUAAUUUCAGAAUUUGCAUUGUAUUUUGAUUACUUUCGAAUGGGUUUUUCUCCCUUAGCAUAUUUUGAUGGUUAUGUACUAAUUUUGGUUAGAUUUGGAGCAUCCAGAGGCCUAUUCGAGAGGCAAAGCAUCGCGGGAUAGAAUUUGGACCUGAUAGAGGUAACUAAUGAUUGUAAAUGUUUUCCUGAGGGUAUGAAACCUCGAAUUUCACAUCAUUGUGCUACUUUGAGGUGACGUACACUAGAUUAUGAGAGUGGGGUCAUGCACCAUUGGGCAGUAUGACAUAGUCCAUCCCGUAUGACUGUUAAGUCGCGUAUUUACUAGAAAACUAUUUGAUAUCAUUGUUUGGAAAGUAUUAGCAUGUCUUGAGCUGAAUGCCAUAUUUGGGCAUCGUGCCAACUAUUUUUGGAACCUUAAGGGAUUUUUACUACUAUUCCACACUAUUUUGAAUUGAUAUUUGUACUUAGUCAUGUUGUAUUCUACUGUUUUUAUAACUCAGCCAUAAUUACUCUGUUUUGACAGCUUAAAUGAUGUUCCAGGCUGAGCAUCAUAUUUUACUGUGCCCGAGUAACUUUUAGAGAUUUCUGACUGAGUAGGACUGAGGGCCUGUGUUGUGAGGAUGCUUAUGAUUAUGAGGUCGAGGGCCUGAUUUGUACGCAACAUGGUGGAUUGAUAUGAGGCCGAGAGCCUGUUGAUUUUGCUACAAGAUGGCUUGAUAUUGUGCAUGGGCUAUAAAGGGCCUCUCUCGAAGUCUGUAUACGCCCAAUGAGCGCCUGUACCCAAUGUUAGUGAUAAGAUGUAGCCCGAUGGGCUGUUAUUGUUUCAUAUUGUUGCCCGAAGGGCUGUUCUUGAUCCAUGUUUUUCCCUUCUUAAUUUAUGUUAUACCCGAUGGGCUAAUUACAAGUGAUUGUGAGGUAGCCCAAGGGGCUGACUUUGUUGAUAUUAUGCUCGAGGCGCAGUUUAUGGUACAUUUUUUCCCCGAGGGGCUGUUUAUGUUUAUAUUAUUUUUACUCACUAUUUCAUCACUCGUUUAAAACUAUUGAAAGUUAUUUUAAAAGGUUUUACCGAAACUGAGCAUGAUUUACGAACCAAAUGAUUUCUGUAUUGUUUUGGAAAUGUACUACAUUUGUUGCAGUGUAUUGGCGUGGCUUACGUGUUUUCUUACUGCUCAACUUUCAUUUACUUUUAUUAUUUACUGAGUUGGCAUACUCACAUUACUCUCUUCACCUUAUUUUCAGAUUCAGGUAGUUCUGAACGGGGUAGCAGGUGUUGAUUGCUCAGUGGCAGAGUCAUUGAAGUUAGUAAGGUAGUUGUCCGACGUUCGCAGCACUGCUUUUCUCCCUCUUAUCUUCCUUAGACAUUAAUUAGUACUUUUUUGGACUCUUGGUUGUAUUCAGACCUUAGUAGAUGCUCGUGAAUUGUUAGCAUCACGGGCUUGUGUACUUAUUGAUAUGAUGUUCUCAUGGUUAUCCUAGGAUAGUAUGGUUUGUGGUAUGCUGUGUAGGUGUGAUAUUUGCAUGUGUAAGGUCACGAUUCAGUUCUAAAAAGGUCAUAAAAUUCUUAGGCAGUACGAGUAGCCUCAAAUGACUAGGGAAAUGAUAUUACCAGUUGGUGUAGCUUAAUGAGGGUAUGUACUGUUGAUACCCAAUUUUUCCCUAUGUAUUUUUAUAUGCAUAAAU